RNAcentral lists this long non-coding RNA (202 nucleotides) under Nicotiana benthamiana. RNAcentral describes it as "long non-coding RNA (NBEN_LNC010521)". The record is from RNAcentral. Lineage: Eukaryota; Viridiplantae; Streptophyta; Magnoliopsida; Solanales; Solanaceae.
UGCUAUCUGUGGUUUAAAUAACUAUUAGUAUACCGUGUGGUGUGUAUUAUCUAUUAGCAUAUUCUUCAAAAAGUUUUCACUCACGCUUUUGAUGAAUGCUAUUCUCAGCUUUGAAAAAUAAUUGAGAUGUCUCAUGUUUCUAACAAUUGACAAAAAUCCUUCUGUUAAAAAUCAUCUCUUGAUGAACACAUCCUUUGGUCUG